Molecule: ribosomal RNA, 443 nt
Filed under: uncultured bacterium
Lineage: Bacteria
Description: partial 16S ribosomal RNA
Rfam family: Bacterial small subunit ribosomal RNA
Source: RNAcentral
CCUACGGGGGGCAGCAGUGGGGGAUAUUGGACAAUGGGGGAAACCCUGAUCCAGCGACGCCGCGUGAGUGAAGAAGUAUUUCGGUAUGUAAAGCUCUGUCAGCAGGGAAGAAAGAAAUGACGGUACCUGACCAAGAAGCCCCGGCUAACUACGUGCCAGCAGCCGCGGUAAUACGUAGGGGGCAAGCGUUAUCCGGAUUUACUGGGUGUAAAGGGAGCGUAGACGGCAGCGCAAGUCUGGAGUGAAAUGCCGGGGCCCAACCCCGGAACUGCUCUGGAAACUGUGAAGCUGGAGUGCAGGAGAGGUAAGCGGAAUUCCUGGUGUAGCGGUGAAAUGCGUAGAUAUCAGGAGGAACACCGGCGGCGAAGGCGGCUUACUGGACUGUAACUGACGUUGAGGCUCGAAGGCGUGGGGAGCAAACAGGAUUAGAUACCCCAGUAGUC